Molecule: ribosomal RNA, 471 nt
Filed under: uncultured bacterium
Lineage: Bacteria
Description: partial 16S ribosomal RNA
Rfam family: Bacterial small subunit ribosomal RNA
Source: RNAcentral
GACGAACGCUGGCGGCGUGCUUAACACAUGCAAGUCGAACGCUGAAGCUUGGUGCUUGCACUGGGUGGAUGAGUGGCGAACGGGUGAGUAAUACGUGAGUAACCUGCCCUUGACUCUGGGAUAAGCCUGGGAAACUGGGUCCAAUACUGGAUACGACAUGUCACCGCAUGGUGGUGUGUGGAAAGGGUUUUACUGGUUUUGGAUGGGCUCACGGCCUAUCAGCUUGUUGGUGGGGUAAUGGCUCACCAAGGCGACGACGGGUAGCCGGCCUGAGAGGGUGACCGGCCACACUGGGACUGAGACACGGCCCAGACUCCUACGGGAGGCAGCAGUGGGGAAUAUUGCACAAUGGGCGGAAGCCUGAUGCAGCGACGCCGCGUGAGGGAUGACGGCCUUCGGGUUGUAAACCUCUUUCAGCACGGAAGAAGCGAAAGUGACGGUACGUGCAGAAGAAGCGCCGGCUAACUACGU